GCUGACAGCAGCAAACCUGAUGUGGGGCUCAAACUUACAAACUGUGAGAUCAUGAUCUGAGCCGAAGUCGGAUGUUCAACCAACUGAGCCACCCAGAUAGCCUGAAAAGCCAUCAUUUUCUCACCUAGAUUCUCACCUAGCCAGUGAUCCAAAGAAGUUAGAAAGAUCUAACUUAGUCAUAGAAGCACCAGGAAAUGGAUAGGACUGUCUAGAAGGAGUGAAUAAGAAAGUCUAAGGCAGGUGGCAGGACAUUUAAGGGAUCUAGUGUAGACCACACCUCUUGAGAUGGGUCAGCCUGCAGAGUCUGUUCAAGCAGUCACUCAGCCUCCUCUUGCCCUGCUGCCCCCUGCUGCCUGGAGAUCUGUCCCCACAGCCACUGGAGCAGCGGGCCUCGUCGGCCUGGCAACACCAACCGCAGCAACACCUUUCCUGAUCUGAAGAAGGAAGAGAAAUCUGAGGGUGGCACCGUGGUCCCACAAAAACAUCACCCCAAUUUGAAGGCUCAGCAAUCCCGUUCUACAAAAAUCCCUCAGGGUUUAAUUUGAACUCCUGCCUGCCUCUUUCCGCUGCUGGUCCUACUUUCCACUCUAAUGCUGCCGCCCGACAUUGAGGUGCUGGGGAAGUUCUGGCCUUGGAAUCACUCAGACCAGGUACUCCAAUGCUGGUUCUACUGCUUCUUAGCUGUGCAACCCCAGGGGCAUUUCUUAGACUCGUUUAUUUUUCUUUUUCUUUUUAAAAUUUAUUUUGAG
This is a long non-coding RNA of Leopardus geoffroyi (Geoffroy's cat), 749 nucleotides long. RefSeq lists it as uncharacterized. The record is from RefSeq and is a predicted model, not a curated record. The transcript has 3 exons. Lineage: Eukaryota; Metazoa; Chordata; Mammalia; Carnivora; Felidae.